CCUACCUUUUACAGGGGAAUAGCCCAGAGAAAUUUGGAUUAAUGCCCCAUGGUAUUAUUGAAUGGCAUCAUUUAAUAAUUAAAGUUCCAACGGUAAAAGAUGGGCAUGCGUCCUAUUAGCUGGAUGGUAAGGUAACGGCUUACCAUGGCUACGAUAGGUAGGGGUCCUGAGAGGGAGAUCCCCCACACUGGUACUGAGACACGGACCAGACUCCUACGGGAGGCAGCAGUGAGGAAUAUUGGACAAUGGGCGCAAGCCUGAUCCAGCCAUGCCGCGUGCAGGAAGACGCAUCUAUGGUGUGUAAACUGCUUUUGUACGGGAAGAAACACCCCCUCGUGAGGGGGCUUGACGGUACCGUAAGAAUAAGGAUCGGCUAACUCCGUGCC
RNAcentral lists this ribosomal RNA (386 nucleotides) under uncultured bacterium. RNAcentral describes it as "bacterial SSU rRNA". It matches the Rfam family "Bacterial small subunit ribosomal RNA", at positions 125 to 509 of the family's 1533-position model. The record is from RNAcentral.